Mytilus californianus (California mussel) is the source of this 3250-nucleotide long non-coding RNA. RefSeq lists it as uncharacterized. The record is from RefSeq and is a predicted model, not a curated record. The transcript has 4 exons. NCBI's taxonomy places the organism in Eukaryota, Metazoa, Mollusca, Bivalvia, Mytilida, Mytilidae.
UCCUACAUUCCAUUGUAGGAAUCUUUUGCAGCAGUGUCAACAUAAAUAAGGUGCAGUCUUUAUUCAAAGUUUUUUUUAAACAUCAAUAACUUUGACAAACCUUCAUGGAACUGUAUGAAACUUCAACAGAAGCUUUUUAAUGAUCAAAAGACAGUACAAUGUAGUAUCGAGGGUAAAAUUUUGAUUUUUUUUGUUUUUACUGAUAAAUGGACAGAUAAUUUUUGCAGUUUACAGAUACAUGAUUAAGAAACAGUUUAAGGUUAAAGUUUUCCAGACAUCAAUUACUUUGUCAAACCUUCAUGGAAUUUUAUGAAUGCAUUUUAAUGAUCAUAAGACUAGUAUCCAGAGCAAAAUUUGAAUUUUUUUUUUUUUCAUUUAACUGAUUUUAAAUAUAAAAGAGGGUAUUGAUGGGGGUUUCUUCAUUUUAAUACGACUGCAAAAAAAAAUUUUGUGGUCGUUUAUUGGUAUGACGUUGGUGUCGUCGUUGUCCGGCGUCGUCGUCCGAAGACACAUUAGUUUUCACACUCUAACUUUAGUUUAAGUGAAUUGAUCUCUAUGAAAUUUUACCAUAAGGUUCAAUACCACAAAAGGAAGGUGGGGAUUGAUUUUGGGGGUUAUGGUACCAACAGUUAAGGAAUAAGGGGCCAAAAGUGGCCAAAAAUAAGCAUUUUUGUAACUUCCAGACAUAACUUGUGUGUAAGUGUAUGGAUCUCUCUGACAUUGUACCACAAGGUUCCAUAUCACAAAGGGAAUGCUGGGAUUGAUUUUGGGGGGUAAUUGCCUCCAAAUUUUAGGAAUUAGGGGCCAAAAAGGGGCAAAAAACAAGCAUUUUUCUAGUUUCAUGACAAUAACUUGUGUGUAAGUGUAUGGAUCUUUAUGAAAUUGUACUACAAGGUUCCAUAUCACAAAGGGAAAGCUGGAAUUGAGUUUGGGGGUAAUUGCCCAAAAAGUUUAGGAAUAAGGGGCCAAAAAGGGGCCAAAAAUAAGCAUUUUUCUAGUUUCCAGACCAUAACAUAUGUUCAAGUGUAUGGAUCUCUCUGAAAUUGUACUGCAAGGUACCAUACCACAAAGGGAAGGCUGGGAUUGAUUUUGGGGGUAAUUCCCUCAAAAUUUUAGGAAUUAGGGGCCAUAAAAGGGCCACAAAACAAGCAUUUUUCUAGUUUCAGGACAAUAACUUGUGUGUAAGUGUAUGGAUCUUUAUAAAAUUGUACUGCAAGGUUCCAUAUCACAAAGGGAAAGCUGGGUUUGAGUUUGGGGGUAAUUGCCCUAAACGUUUAGGAAUUUGGGACCAAAAAGGGGCCAAAAAACAAGCAUUUUUCUAGUAUCCAGACAAUAACUUGUGUUCAAGUGUAUGGAUCUCUCUGAAAUUGUACUGCAAGGUACCAUACCACAAAGGGAAGGCUGGGAUUGAGUUUGGGGGUGAUGAAUCAUAAGGGGGUUCAAAAAAUUUGGGGGGGAUUUUUUUUUCCUUUUUUUUCUUUAAAAUUUUCCAUUUUAAAUUGGUUAUUUCUGAUUUAUAUAUAAAAGUAAAUAAUAAUGAUAUGGUUUGAAUAGGUAAAUUAAAAAUUUUUAAGUUCUUAGACCACAUUCAUUCUGUGUCAGAAACCUAUGCUGUGUCAAAUAUUUAAUCACAAUCCAAAUUCAGAGCUGUAUCAAGCUUGAAUGUUGUGUCCAUACUUGCCCCAACUGUUCAGGGUUCGACCUCUGCAGUCGUAUCAAACUGAGCCCAGCGGAGCAUUUUAUUUAAGUAUGUGCCUAAUAUCUUAAAAACUAUAAUCGAUAGAUAGAAACUUUAUAAACAUCAAAAUUUGUCAGCAAGACAAGAUCUACGAAUAAAUCAACAUAGCUGAAAUUGCUAGUCAACUUCUUAUUGAAGUAAUUGCCCUUUAAUGACAAUUUUCCCCAUUUUAAUACAACCGCAAAAGUCUUAUAUUGGUAUGACGUUGGCGUCGUCGUCGUAGUUGUCGUCGUCGUCGUCGUCGACGUCCGAAGACACAUUAGUUUUCGCACUCUAACUUUAGUUUAAGUGAAUUGAUCUCUAUGAAAUUUUACCAUAAGGUUCAAUACCACAAAAGGAAGGUUGGGAUUGAUUUUGGGGGUUAUGGUACCAACAGUUAAGGAAUAAGGGGCCAAAAAUAAGCAUUUUUGUAACUUCCAGACAUAUCUUGUGUGUUAGUGUAUGGAUCUCUCUGACAUUGUACCACAAGGUUCCAUAUCAAAAAGGGAAUGCUGGGAUUGAUUUUGGGGGUAAUUGCUUCAAAAUUUUAGGAAUUAGGGGCCAAAAAGGGGCAAAAAACAAGCAUUUUUCUAGUUUCAUGACAAUAACUUGUGUGUAAGUGUAUUGAUCUUUAUGAAAUUGUACUACAAGGUUCCAUAUCACAAAGGGAAAGCUGGAAUUGAGUUUGGGGGUAAUUGCCCAAAACGUUUAGGAAUAAGGGGCCAAAAAUAAGUAUUUUUCUAGUUUCCAGACAAUAACUUGUGUUUGAUUGUAUGGAUCUCUCUGAAAUUGUACUGCAAGGUACUAUACCACAUAGGGAAGGCUGGGAUUGAUUUUUGGGGUAAUUGCCUCAAAAUUUUAGGAAUUAGGGGCAAAAAAGGGGCAAAAAACAAGCAUUUUUAUACAACCGUUCUAGUUUCAGGACAAUAACUUGUGUGUAAGUCUAUGGAUCUCUCUGAAAUUGUACUACAAGGUUUCAUAUCACAAAUGGAAAGCUGGGUUUGAGUUUGGGGAUAAUUGCCUUGAACGUCUAGGAAUUUGGGGCCAAAAAGGGGCCUAAAAACAAACAUUUUUCUAGUUUCCAGACAACAACUUGUGUUCAAGUGUAUGGAUCUCUCUGAAAUUGUACUGCAAGGUACCAUACCACAAAGGGAAGGCUGGGAUUGAGUUUGGGGGUGAUGAAUCAUAAGGGGGUUCAAAAAAUUUUGGGGAGGGAUAUUUUUUUUCUUUAAAAUUUUCCAUUUUAAAUUGGUUAUUUCUGAUUUAUAUAUAAAAGCAAAUAAUAAUGAUAUGGUUUGAAUAGGUAAAUUAAAUUUUUUUAAGUUCUUAGACCACAUUCAUUCUGUGUCAGAAACCUAUGCUGUGUCAAAUAUUUAAUCACAAUCCAAAUUCAGUGCUGUAUCAAGCUUGAAUGUUGUGUCCAUACUUGCCCCAACUGUUCAGGGUUCUACCUCUGCGGUCGUAUCAAGCUGCGCCCAGCUGAGCAUUUUAUUUUACCAAGGUAUACAUUUUUAUGAACCAAAGAACCUUAUU